UACGUAGGGACCGAGCGUUGUCCGGAUUCAUUGGGCGUAAAGAGCUCGUAGGCGGCUGCUCAAGUCGAAUGUGAAAACUCGGGGCUUAACCCCGGGCCUGCAGUGGGUACGGGCAGACUAGAGUGCGGUAGGGGAGACUGGAAUUCCUGGUGUAGCGGUGAAAUGCGCAGAUAUCAGGAGGAACACCGGUGGCGAAGGCGGGUCUCUGGGCCGUAACUGACGCUGAGGAGCGAAAGCAUGGGGAGCGAACAGG
RNAcentral lists this ribosomal RNA (253 nucleotides) under uncultured bacterium. RNAcentral's name for it is "partial 16S ribosomal RNA". It matches the Rfam family "Bacterial small subunit ribosomal RNA", at positions 524 to 776 of the family's 1533-position model. The record is from RNAcentral.